AAAGUUCCCUUCGGGGAACGAGUAGAGUGGCGCACGGGUGAGUAACACGUAGGUAAUCUACCUUUGGACGGGGAAUAACACCGAGAAAUCGGUGCUAAUACCGCAUAAUGCAGCGGCACCUAAUGGUGACAGUUGUUAAAGCGGGGGAUCGCAAGACCUCGCGUCUAAAGAGGAGCCUGCGGCGGAUUAGCUAGUUGGUAAGGUAACGGCUUACCAAGGCGAUGAUCCGUAGCCGGCCUGAGAGGGCGGUCGGCCACACUGACACUGACAUACGGGUCAGACUCCUACGGGAGGCAGCAGUCGGGAAUUUUGGGCAAUGGGCGAAAGCCUGACCCAGCAACGCCGCGUGAAGGAUGAAAUCCCUCGGGAUGUAAACUUCGCAAGAACGGGAAGAAUAAGUUGGUGUGAAUAUCACCAGCGAUGACGGUACCGUUUGUAAGCUCCGGCUAACUCCGUGCCAGCAGCCGCGGUAAUACGGGGGGAGCAAGCGUUGUUCGGAUUUACUGGGCGUAAAGGGCGCGUAGGCGGCCACCGCAAGUCGAUUGUGAAAUCUCCGGGCUUAACCCGGAAAGGUCAACCGAUACUGCGGGGCUAGAGUGCAGAAGGGGCAACUGGAAUUCUCGGUGUAGCGGUGAAAUGCGUAGAUAUCGAGAGGAACACCUGCGGCGAAGGCGGGUUGCUGGGCUGACACUGACGCUGAGGCGCGAAAGCUAGGGGAGCGAACGGGAUUAGAUACCCCGGUAGUCCUAGCCUUAAACGAUGGAUGCUUGGUGUCUGGGGUUUUAUAGUCCCCGGGUGCCGUC
This 803-nucleotide ribosomal RNA is filed under the name uncultured Bacillota bacterium. Its description in RNAcentral is "bacterial SSU rRNA". It matches the Rfam family "Bacterial small subunit ribosomal RNA", at positions 70 to 850 of the family's 1533-position model. The record is from RNAcentral. Lineage: Bacteria; Bacillati; Bacillota.